UAAGUGAAUAGCUAAUAAUCUAAGUAUAUUUUUUACACUAAUAUGAUAUCAUUUUUGAUUUUACUU
This 66-nucleotide transfer RNA is filed under the name Euphyllura phillyreae. Its description in RNAcentral is "tRNA-Val". The record is from RNAcentral. Lineage: Eukaryota; Metazoa; Arthropoda; Insecta; Hemiptera; Liviidae.